AGCUUAUUUUCCAGCAUUUUUCAAAUAACACAUAGAAGAGUGACCUUUUUCUCUCCAAUAGGGAAUCUGAAGCUGUGGACCCCAUAAAAUGCUGGGCCUCAUUUAGGCCUCAUGAGAAAGUUGGUCCAAGAGGAUUCGGUGAAAACAGAAACAUCAGCUGAGACCAAGCUGGAGAGACAGGGUCAAGGAAGCUACAGGAAGCCUGUGUGUCUGCCUCUGCGGGUGGGAGAAGGGGACAAGCUGACAAGUGAGAAGACAGAGGAGGAGAGAUACAUCAAGGGUCUACUACGUGAAGAACAGAUAUCAAAUGGCGUCAUUCACAGAAUCUCAGUAAAGAGGCAGUACGAUAAAAUGCUGACAAAGCGAUUAGAGAAACGGUAAGCUUAAAAAUCAGAAAAAUCGAGAUUAAAAUCUUACCUUUUCUAUUCACUACCCACAUAACCUUACAUGACUUAUUUAAAUCUUCUAAGGAUCAGGUGCAGUUGUGACAUUUAAAAAGCAAGGAUAGUGCUUAAGUGCAAGAUGGUCCUGAGAGUUAAACGAAAUGAUGCACACGUGGCACUGAGAAAACGUCUCAUGUAGAAUGAAUGUCUAAACACUGCUCCGCUUCCUUCAUUUUCCUCAUCUGGAGUUAUGCAG
Molecule: long non-coding RNA, 639 nt
Filed under: Aotus nancymaae (Ma's night monkey)
Lineage: Eukaryota; Metazoa; Chordata; Mammalia; Primates; Aotidae
Description: lncRNA (ENSANAG00000038731.1)
Source: RNAcentral